RNAcentral lists this ribosomal RNA (433 nucleotides) under uncultured bacterium. Its description in RNAcentral is "partial 16S ribosomal RNA". It matches the Rfam family "Bacterial small subunit ribosomal RNA", at positions 29 to 507 of the family's 1533-position model. The record is from RNAcentral.
AACGAACGCUGGCGGCAUGCCUAACACAUGCAAGUCGAACGAGACCUUCGGGUCUAGUGGCGCACGGGUGCGUACCGCGUGGGAACCUGCCCUUAGGUUCGGAAUCACUCCCCGAAAGGGGUGCUAAUACCGGAUAAUGUCUUCGGACCAAAGAUUUAUCGCCUUUGGAUGGGCCCGCGUUGGAUUAGCUAGUUGGUAGGGUAAAAGCCUACCAAGGCGACGAUCCAUAGCUGGUCUGAGAGGAUGAUCAGCCACACUGGGACUGAGACACGGCCCAGACUCGUACGGGAAGCAGCAGUGGGGAAUAUUGGACAAGGGGCGAAAGUCUGAUCCAGCAAUGCCGGGUGAGUGAUGAAGGGCGUAGGGUUGUAAAGCUCUUUUACACGGGAUGAUAAUGACGGUACCGGGAGAAUAAGCUCCGGCUAACUCCGUG